GACGAACGCUGGCGGCGUGCUUAACACAUGCAAGUCGAACGGAAAGGCCCUGCUUUUGUGGGGUGCUCGAGUGGCGAACGGGUGAGUAACACGUGAGUAACCUGCCCUUGACUUUGGGAUAACUUCAGGAAACUGGGGCUAAUACCGGAUAGGAGCUCCUGCUGCAUGGUGGGGGUUGGAAAGUUUCGGCGGUUGGGGAUGGACUCGCGGCUUAUCAGCUUGUUGGUGGGGUAGUGGCUUACCAAGGCUUUGACGGGUAGCCGGCCUGAGAGGGUGACCGGCCACAAUGGGACUGAGAUACGGCCCAGACUCCUACGGGGGGCAGCAGUGGGGAAUAUUGCACAAUGGGCGGAAGCCUGAUGAAGCAACGCCGCGUGCGGGAUGACGGCCUUCGGGUUGUAAACCGCUUUCGCCUGUGACGAAGCGUGAGUGACGGUAAUGGGUAAAGAAGCACCGGCUAACUACGUG
RNAcentral lists this ribosomal RNA (468 nucleotides) under uncultured bacterium. RNAcentral's name for it is "partial 16S ribosomal RNA". It matches the Rfam family "Bacterial small subunit ribosomal RNA", at positions 28 to 507 of the family's 1533-position model. The record is from RNAcentral.